UUUACUUUGAAAAAAAUAAUUUAUUUAUUUUUUACAAAUUUUUAUAUUUUUUAUUUUGAAUUUUUACAGACA
This 72-nucleotide unclassified non-coding RNA is filed under the name Texas Phoenix palm phytoplasma. RNAcentral's name for it is "ribosomal intergenic spacer". The record is from RNAcentral. Lineage: Bacteria; Bacillati; Mycoplasmatota; Mollicutes; Acholeplasmatales; Acholeplasmataceae.